UCGAUUUGGACUUUUCAUCGUGGAUUCAUCGGCACGACUGAUUCAUUGGCCAUUAUUCUGGAUUUAAAUGUCAGCGAAGAAUACUCCAAAGUGUAGGAACCUUCUCAAACUUUGACACAUUCUUCAUCGACUCUGUGUGCUGUUUUAAUAAUCAUUGGAAACGAACCGGUUCCUGAAGACACGUUUCGAGGUCAGUGGAACAAGCUCCUUGAUGUUGUUAAAAAUUUCGAUUCGAAAAAUGAGAACAUAAUGAACAAAGUUUGGAGCGAAUAACGCAAUCGCUAAAACUACGUUCGUUAUCCAAUCGACACGCGCUCGGUUGCUAUAAUAUUGAGCAACGCACCAAGGCCUUCGUCGACCGACCUUGACUCCUCGCAUCAAACUGCUCGCCAUUGCUGACGAGCUCUUUGAUUUCUUUCACCAGCAACGAAGCGAACGUGACACUUUUCAUUGCAACAAAUUGACCGAAUUUUCUCCAUAUUUCAAUCUGCGAUGUUCAAACACGUGCGUUACAAUAAACACAACUGACGAGUCUCAGCGCAGUAAUCGAUGUAGAAAAUAAAAAAUGAGACGAACGUCGGUUUGGUGUCAUCGUUAGGCACGCCCAAGAUAGACAGAGCUAAUGAGAAUUAAAUUGUGAUUUCGUUGCGCAACGUAAAUGAAUUUUAAUGACUCACGACGCUGAUUAGAUUCGUGACAAAAAUGGCGGACGAUUGUCCGGAUAAUUUAAUCACGUUCGAAAUGAACUUCGCGAUGAUCAGCACAGAUAUUUGGGAACAGGCUUCGCCUGAUCGAUGUUUUCCCAAGCUGGAUUGUGCCGGCUUUUGACCAAACAAGGCGAAGGAAGGGAAAUGGUAGAAAAGAUGAAAUUUCGUGGCUUGGUUUGCUGCUUCGAGUGCUUUCGAAUCCUCGAUCAUAAAGUUAAACAACUCGCUUCGGGAAAUUGGCUGUUUGCAAUCGUUUCAAGUGAGCCUUGCGUCGCUUUUUCCUCGUCUCCUUCUCUCUCAUUCGCCACACAAGUUUUCUGUAAUUAACGCAACGAAUCAUGCUGCUUUCGGCCAUCGGGGACUGUCAAAGGUCUGUGAUGUUCAGUGAUUUGCCAAAAUGCCAUCUAACUAAGCUUCGACUCCCAUCGUCGCGAAGACGUUCAAGCCAGAAAACAAGGGACAACAAGCUCUACCCAGCCGUUUGACAACUCAUAAAAUUACUUUAGGGGACACCAGAGCAAAACGGAGUGCCUGAGGAAGUAUUCUGCUUUUUAGAAUUUUUAUAAGCUUCAUCUAUUACCAACACCAAUAAAUAUACUGUAAUUUUUGUCAAAAAAAUAAAAAAUAACCAAAUUUCUUGCCUCACAA
Molecule: long non-coding RNA, 1355 nt
Organism: Venturia canescens
Lineage: Eukaryota; Metazoa; Arthropoda; Insecta; Hymenoptera; Ichneumonidae
Exons: 2
Source: RefSeq, a predicted model, not a curated record